RNAcentral lists this ribosomal RNA (415 nucleotides) under uncultured bacterium. RNAcentral describes it as "bacterial SSU rRNA". It matches the Rfam family "Bacterial small subunit ribosomal RNA", at positions 355 to 794 of the family's 1533-position model. The record is from RNAcentral.
UGGGGAAUAUUGGACAAUGGGCGCAAGCCUGAUCCAGCCAUGCCGCGUGGAUGAUGAAGGCCUUAGGGUUGUAAAAUCCUUUCGGCGGGGAAGCGGUACCCGCAGAAGAAGCCCCGGCUAACUUCGUGCCAGCAGCCGUGGUAAUACGAAGGGGGCUAGCGUUGCUCGGAAUCACUGGGCGUAAAGCGCACGUAGGCGGCUUUUUAAGUCAGGGGUGAAAUCCUGGAGCUCAACUCCAGAACUGCCUUUGAUACUGAGAAGCUUGAGUCCGGGAGAGGUGAGUGGAACUGCGAGUGUAGAGGUGAAAUUCGUAGAUAUUCGCAAGAACACCAGUGGCGAAGGCGGCUCACUGGCCCGGUACUGACGCUGAGGUGCGAAAGCGUGGGGAGCAAACAGGAUUAGAUACCCCGGUAGU